Molecule: ribosomal RNA, 331 nt
Filed under: uncultured bacterium
Lineage: Bacteria
Description: bacterial SSU rRNA
Rfam family: Bacterial small subunit ribosomal RNA
Source: RNAcentral
GACGUUAGCGACAGAAGAAAGCACCGGCUAACUCCGUGCCAGCAGCCGCGGUAAUACGGAGGGUGCGAGCGUUAAUCGGAAUUACUGGGCGUAAAGCGCAUGCAGGUGGUUUGUUAAGUCAGAUGUGAAAGACCCGGGGCGUCAACCUCGGAAUUGCAUUUGUAAACUAGGCAGACUAGAGUACUGUAGAGGGGGGUAGGAAUUUCAGGUGUAGCGGUGAAAUAGCGUAGAGAUCUGAAGGAAUACCGGUGGCGAAGGCGGCCCCCUCGGACAGAUACUGACACUCAGAUGCGAAAGCGUGGGGAGCAAACAGGAUUAGAUACCCUGGUAG